ACGAGCAAUGUCUGUCCAGCCACAGAGGAAAAUGGAGUGAAGGGCAAUGGUGUGUCACCACCAACCGGCUCAUCCUGCACUACCAGUGUUCGGCCGUUCUCUUUGGUAUAUACCUUCUGGAAAGGAGUGUUUUUAUUCCUGUACAGAAGUCAACUUUUACGUAAAACUAUUUCCCAGAAGCGAACAGAACUACAAGAAAGAGACAAUGAAGGAUGAAUACACAUUCUUAAGUGAGGUAUCUAAAAAACAAACAAACAAAAGAAACCCCAAACAAAA
Molecule: long non-coding RNA, 276 nt
Organism: Neopelma chrysocephalum (saffron-crested tyrant-manakin)
Lineage: Eukaryota; Metazoa; Chordata; Aves; Passeriformes; Pipridae
Exons: 3
Source: RefSeq, a predicted model, not a curated record